Molecule: unclassified non-coding RNA, 19 nt
Filed under: Mus musculus (house mouse)
Lineage: Eukaryota; Metazoa; Chordata; Mammalia; Rodentia; Muridae
Description: oocyte_clustered_small_RNA222
Source: RNAcentral
AUGGCCGCCGGAGACCCUU